RNAcentral lists this ribosomal RNA (1391 nucleotides) under metagenome. Its description in RNAcentral is "bacterial SSU rRNA". It matches the Rfam family "Bacterial small subunit ribosomal RNA". The record is from RNAcentral.
GAUGCAUCGGAACUUGCCAUUGAGUGGGGGAUAACGUAGCGAAAGUUACGCUAAUACCGCAUAUUCUGUGAGCAGGAAAGCAGGGGACCGCAAGGCCUUGCACUCUUUGAGCGGCCGAUGUCAGAUUAGCUAGUUGGUGAGGUAAAGGCUUACCAAGGCGACGAUCUGUAGCGGGUCUGAGAGGAUGAUCCGCCACACUGGAACUGAGACACGGUCCAGACUCCUACGGGAGGCAGCAGUGGGGAAUUUUGGACAAUGGGCGCAAGCCCGAUCCAGCCAUGCCGCGUGAGUGAAGAAGGCCUUCGGGUUGUAAAGCUCUUUCGGCCGGGAAGAAAUCGCAUGGGUUAAUACCCUGUGUGGAUGACGGUACCGGAAUAAGAAGCACCGGCUAACUACGUGCCAGCAGCCGCGGUAAUACGUAGGGUGCGAGCGUUAAUCGGAAUUACUGGGCGUAAAGCGUGCGCAGGCGGUUCUGUAAGACAGGCGUGAAAUCCCCGGGCUUAACCUGGGAACUGCGUUUGUGACUGCAAGACUAGAGUACGGCAGAGGGGGGUGGAAUUCCACGUGUAGCAGUGAAAUGCGUAGAGAUGUGGAGGAACACCAAUGGCGAAGGCAGCCCCCUGGGUCGAUACUGACGCUCAUGCACGAAAGCGUGGGUAGCAAACAGGAUUAGAUACCCUGGUAGUCCACGCCCUAAACUAUGUCAACUAGGUGUUGGGUGGGUAAAACCAUUUAGUACCGUAGCUAACGCGUGAAGUUGACCGCCUGGGGAGUACGGCCGCAAGGUUAAAACUCAAAGGAAUUGACGGGGACCCGCACAAGCGGUGGAUGAUGUGGAUUAAUUCGAUGCAACGCGAAAAACCUUACCUACCCUUGACAUGCCAGGAACUUGCCAGAGAUGGCUUGGUGCCCGAAAGGGAGCCUGGACACAGGUGCUGCAUGGCUGUCGUCAGCUCGUGUCGUGAGAUGUUGGGUUAAGUCCCGCAACGAGCGCAACCCUUGUCGUUAAUUGCCAUCAUUUAGUUGGGCACUUUAGCGAGACUGCCGGUGACAAACCGGAGGAAGGUGGGGAUGACGUCAAGUCCUCAUGGCCCUUAUGGGUAGGGCUUCACACGUCAUACAAUGGUCGGUACAGAGGGUUGCCAACCCGCGAGGGGGAGCCAAUCCCAGAAAGCCGAUCGUAGUCCGGAUUGCAGGCUGCAACUCGCCUGCAUGAAGUCGGAAUCGCUAGUAAUCGCGGAUCAGCAUGCCGCGGUGAAAGCGUUCCCGGGUCUUGUACACACCGCCCGUCACACCAUGGGAGCGGGUUCCGCCAGAAGUAGGUAGCCUAACCGCAAGGAGGGCGCUUACCACGGCGGGGUUCGUGACUGGGGUGAAGUCGAAACAAGGUA